ACUGCUCAGUAACACGUGGACAACCUACCCUCAGCACGGGGAUAAACCCGGGAAACUGGGUAUAAUACCCGAUAGUUCUGGAGAGCUGGAAUGCUAUCAGGACGAAAGCUCCGGCGACUGAGGAUGGGUCUGCGGCCUAUCAGGUAGUAGUGGGUGUAAUGUACCUACUAGCCUACGACGGGUACGGGUCGUGAGAGCGAGAGCCCGGAGAUGGAUUCUGAGACACGAAUCCAGGCCCUACGGGGUGCAGCAGGCGCGAAAACUUUACAAUGCUGGCAACAGCGAUAAGGGGACCUCGAGUGCCAGGAUACAAUCUUGGCUGUCGUAAUGCCUAAAAAGCAUUGCAUAGCAAGGGCCGGGCAAGACCGGUGCCAGCCGCCGCGGUAACACCGGCGGCUCGAGUGGUAACCGCUAUUAUUGGGUCUAAAGGGUCUGUAGCCGGCCGGAUAAGUCUUUUGGGAAAUCUGGCAGCUCAACUGUCAGGCUUUCAGAAGAUACUGUUCGGCUCGAGGCCGGGAGAGGUGAGAGGUACUUCAGGGGUAGGGGUGAAAUCUUGUAAUCCUUGAAGGACCACCAGUGGCGAAGGCGUCUCACCAGAACGGUCCUGACGGCAAGGGACGAAAGCUAGGGGCACGAACCGGAUUAGAUACCCGGGUAGUCCUAGCCGUAAACGAUACUCGCUAGGUGUCAGCCACGGUGCGACCGUGGUUGGUGCCGUAGGGAAGCCGUGAAGCGAGCCACCUGGGAAGUACGGCCGCAAGGCUGAAACUUAAAGGAAUUGGCGGGGGAG
Molecule: ribosomal RNA, 790 nt
Filed under: uncultured archaeon
Lineage: Archaea
Description: bacterial SSU rRNA
Rfam family: Archaeal small subunit ribosomal RNA
Source: RNAcentral